This is a long non-coding RNA of Drosophila miranda, 588 nucleotides long. RefSeq lists it as uncharacterized. Lineage: Eukaryota; Metazoa; Arthropoda; Insecta; Diptera; Drosophilidae. The record is from RefSeq and is a predicted model, not a curated record. The transcript has 4 exons.
GGCCGGCAAGGGCAAGGACCUCCCCCGAGGAUCUCGGCGAAUUGGCAAAUAUGCUGCAGACCCAGGCCACCUCAACCAUGAUGGCGGGCAAAGAAUGGGCAUCAUUUCGCGGCAUCAAAGUUUGUAUAUCCUUGCAAUUAGUUCGAGUGCAUAAGCAUCAGUGGACCUGUGCUACGAGUACGUGGGGCAAAGGACAGAACAGAAAGCGCCGAUGGCUUAAAGGGCAAGGGCCUAUUCUGCAUAUUCGAGGGGUCUUUAGCUCGGCUUAAAAUAGAGUGGACCAAAUGCUUGAACAGCAAGGUUAGUCAAUAAUGGCCUGUAUUUUCCGAUCCAUUUACAGCACAAGGUAAAUAUCAACGAACAACUGAAAAGUGCGUACAGCCACCAAAUCGAAUGGAUAAUGUACAUAUAGAAACAAAAAUAUGUUUCAGGAAUACCAUUAAUAUUUCAAUGUAAUUUCAUAUGGAAACUGUAACGCUCCAUAUCCAUAUCUACCACUAAAAGCAGGGAUCGUAAGGCUUAUAGGAUUAUUUGUAUAAGGCAAAUUAUGAAAUAAAAUUUUAUUCUGGUUUUUAUUAUUUAUAAAUU